AUGGUGGACCCUGGAUUCAAGCUUUGCGCUCUAGUUCUGAAGAGAGCAGCAGGUAGACCUCGCAGCGAAGGAGCUGGACUUGGAGCGAGGAAGCGUAAGUGCACAAGGUGUGGUGGGUCUGGUCAUUUCGGUAAGUAUUGUGAUAACACAGUAGAUCCAGCGUUCGGAGAGAGUUUUGAUGAAGGCUUCGAUGAAAAUGUUGGUCAGCAGCCGGUUGCCUCAACAGAUGAUGAAAAUGAUGGUCAACAGCCGGUUGCAUCAGAUGAGGAUUUUGACGAGGUUCCAAAUGAUGAUGGUCAACAGCCGCAUGAUUUUGACGAUGAUGCAAAAUAUCCUCCAAAUAAUGAUUCAGGUGAGGAUCCAAAUGGUGAUCCAAGUGAGGCUCCAAAUAGUGAUCAUGGUGAUCCAAGUGAGGCUCCAAAUGGUGACCAACUUUCUGUUGUUGUGAGUUCUGCUAGGUAUGUAAAUCUUGCAAGGGUCAAAUACUACUGUACAUUUAUCACUUGA
RNAcentral lists this ribosomal RNA (507 nucleotides) under Triticum aestivum (bread wheat). Its description in RNAcentral is "partial small subunit ribosomal RNA". The record is from RNAcentral. Lineage: Eukaryota; Viridiplantae; Streptophyta; Magnoliopsida; Poales; Poaceae.